This is a long non-coding RNA of Numida meleagris (helmeted guineafowl), 1398 nucleotides long. RefSeq lists it as uncharacterized. The transcript is spliced from 3 exons. NCBI's taxonomy places the organism in Eukaryota, Metazoa, Chordata, Aves, Galliformes, Numididae. The record is from RefSeq and is a predicted model, not a curated record.
CGGUGUCAAAGAGGCGGCUGCUGUGACGGCCACGUAGCCUGCUGAAUAUUGCUGUACAAAUUAGCCCAGCCUGAGGCAGUCAAUGGGAUUGGAAAGAAAGCGAGAAAAACAGCAUUUAAAACCAAAAUCAAUAUUCUGAGCUGGGGACCUAAUUAGUCAACAGGACUGUAAGCUGCCGCUUCAGAGCAGGCGGCUGCACGGAUCUGCUAAAAUUGAAGCUCUUCUGUGGGCCAGGUUCUAACAAUCCUCUGGCUAUUGCUGGCGUGAUGCUAGCCAAGCUGGCAGCGCCUGGCAGAAAGGAAAUACCCCGACAACUGGCAGCUCCUUUGGCACUUGUGUCAGAGAGGCUGCGGGCUGCAUGAGCGCAGACGUGGUGCGCUUUGUCAUAGCAGAGCGGGCUGUCAAGGUCAGAGAUGGGAUGCCUGUGCUGAUAGCUCUUGCUGGAGACUUGGCAGUCAACCUUGCGGCAACGCAAAUACCUGAGAGCUCGGAACAGAUGCAAAUUAAAGCCUUUAUCCGUGUGGUCCUCUUAGGGCUAUGGUAAACCUGCAGUUUGAAGCUUGAUAAAAGAAAAAGGCUGCUCCAAACAUUCAGGAGCAGAAAACUUAGUGAGCAGAUCACGCUGUGUGAUUAACACCAAUUUGCAAGCAUACACUGUAUUUUUGCUUAAAAGCUUUUAUGUUGGGGCAACACAAGAACAGGGAAACAUUGCUGCUGUUGGAUUCCAUAGGGCUGCAGAACGGUGCCUAAUGCCUCUAGAGCAAGGGCUCACCCUGCGCACAGGUGCUGUCAUUUAUUGGAUGAUUUGGAUUUGCAGAGCUCAGCUGCAGAGAGUAAGGGGCAGGGGUGUGGUGAAGGGACAGCUGGGAGAAGUGAUCCAGGAGGAGUGAUACAAGGGAGACAUGGCCUUGGGAAGUUGGUCUGUGCUGGGGCCGUGUGCCUGUAACUCAGAUGAGUGUAUGCAGUGACACUCCUGAGCUCCAGUGUUUUACCAGCAACAAACUAUUUCCGGAGUCACAGGUGACAUCAGGAGACGAAACCUGGAGGACGUGAAGAGAUUCUGGGGGAGCAGAAAACACAGAAGAGCUCCAGCACCGGCCCAGGGCCGGAGCCGGGCAUGAGACAGCAGCCCCAAGCCCCCAGGAGCAGAUCGCUGAAGUCGGAGGGUUUCGCUGCCCGUGGUACCUCCAUAAGUACACCGCCGGCCCGGAGGCAGCUCGGCAGCUAACGAGGGAAGUCACAGCGGCGGGGACCGUCCCACCGCCUCAGGCGGCAGCAGCAGAGGCAAAGCCUUGCGCUCGCUACCGAGAAUUACAGAGAGGAGGUAACGGCGAACUCACGGCCCGGGCCUGGCCCCAAGGCUCCUCGUCAGCCCGCGGCAGCGCCAGGCCGGGCCCU